GAAACUGAAGAAUCGGGAAUGGUG
RNAcentral lists this non-coding RNA (24 nucleotides) under Cricetulus griseus (Chinese hamster). The record is from RNAcentral. Lineage: Eukaryota; Metazoa; Chordata; Mammalia; Rodentia; Cricetidae.